This 20727-nucleotide long non-coding RNA is filed under the name Nicotiana tabacum (common tobacco). Its description in RNAcentral is "long non-coding RNA (NTAB_LNC010313)". The record is from RNAcentral. Lineage: Eukaryota; Viridiplantae; Streptophyta; Magnoliopsida; Solanales; Solanaceae.
GCCAAUGAAAAGUUCUUUAGGGUAGGCUUCCGACCUACUCCAGCUGAUGUAAGAUGGGCAGAUGAUAGAAAGAGUGAUGGUUGGGUCUUGCCUCAGCCGGUGCUGCAUCUGUACAGAACAUUUGUCAAGCUGAAAUACAAUAAGAAAGAGGAAGAUAAGGCCUUUACAGCCGAAGAAAUCGAAGAAAUCUGUGGGGCCAUGAGGAAGAUACUGUAUGAAGCCCACAUGGUUCAACCAGGGGAAGGCUCAAGCACCGCUGAGGUGUUGUAUAUAGGACCUAAUGCCAAACUGCAGAAUUGGAAGGCUACACCAUUCCCAAUCAGGUGGGAGUCCUGGUAGACCUAUCCUGCCAGUUUUUCUGCAUCACGAGUUAUUCAAGGUGUAACUCGGAUGUUUUCUUUAGUUUUCUGUCUUUUAAUUUCCAUUGUAAACCCUGUUAUCUUCAAAUCCAAUGAAAUGAAAUCAAUAUUUCAUCAUUCAUCGUUCUUUAUUCUUUCUGAUUUUUGUGAUGUUUCUCUUUAUUUCUUCUUUCAGUUCUAAUGAUGCAGGUUUAAAUAACAUGACAUGCUUGUGAACUUCAUGCCCAGAUCCAAACACGCUGUAUAACUAUGAAAUAAUGAACCAAGAACCAGACUAUGAUGAAGAAGAGGCUUUUAAGGAAAUAAAUCAAGAAUUAGAGCAAUUUGAGAAUAAACUUAAGCCAAACUUAAAUGAUACUGAGCCGGUAAAUUUGGGUAAUUCAGAAGAGGUCCAAGAGACCAUGAUAAGCAUUCACGCAAAUGAAAGAACCAGGGAUGCUUUGGUCCAACUUUUGUUUGAGUUCAAAUAUGUGUUUGCUUGGUCAUAUGACGACAUGUCAGGACUGUUGAUUUGGUGGUUCAUAAGUUGCCAACCUACCCUGAUUAUCCCCCUGUUCAGCAAAAGCAGAGAAAGUUUAAAACUGUUAUCAGUGACAAGAUUAAAGAAGAGGUCACAAAACAGUUGAAAGCGGGGAUGAUCCGAGUGGUUCGAUACACCACUUGGUUAGCCAAUGUAGUUCCAGUGUCAAAGAAAAACGGGAAAACUCGAGUGUGUGUGGAUUACAGAGAUCUGAACAAAGCGAGUCCUAAGGACAACUUCCCUUUGCCAAACAUCCACAUCCUCGUUGACAAUUGUGCCAAACAUGAGAUAUAGUCUUUUGUGGAUUGUUAUGUUGGGUAUCAUCAGGUCUUGAUGGACGAGGAAGAUGCGGAGAAGACAACAUUUACAACACCUUGGGGAACCUAUUGCUACAGGGUUAUGCUUUUUGGUCUGAAGAAUGCCGGGGCAACCUACAUGAGGGCCAUGACCACCAUUUUUCAUGAUAUGAUGCACCAAGAGAUAGAGGUGUAUGUGGACAACGUGAUCAUCAAGUCCAAGACCCAGGAUGACCCUGUUCGGGAUUUAAGAAAAUUCUUCGAGCGGCUGCGUUAAUAUGAUCUGAAGCUAAACCCAGCUAAAUGUGCAUUCGGGGUUCCAUCUGGAAAACCUUUGGGAAUCAUAGUCAGUCGGAGGGGCAUCGAGUUAGACCCAACAAAGAUAAAGUCCAUUCGAGAUCUGCCUUCUCCAAGAACCAAGAAAGAUGUUAUGAGUCUGCUCGGAAGAUUGAACUACAUCAGCUGAUUCAUUGCCCAGCUGACAUCUACAUGUGAACCCAUUUUCAAGCCAUUAAAGAAAGACGCAGCAAUUAAAUAGAAAGGCGAGUGCGAAGAAGAUUUUAACAAAAUCAAAGAAUACUUGUCGAACUCGCCAGUAUUGGUCCCGCCUGAACCGGAAAGGCCCCUUUUCUUUUAUAUGAUAGUCUUGGAGAACUCUUUUGGAUGUGUCCUCAGAUAACAUGAUGUGACCAGGAGGAAGGAACAUGCAAUCUACUAUUUGAGCAAAAAGUUCACAAGCUGCGAGACCAAAUAUACCUUGUUGGAGAGAACUUGUUGCGCUUUAACUUGGGUUCCUCAGAAGCUGAGGCAUUACUUGCUAGCCUACACCACCUACCUUAUUACCAUGUUGGACCCUUAAGUACAUAUUCCAGAAACCAAUGCCCAUUGGGAGGUUAGCAAAGUGGCAGAUCUUGCUCACUGAAUUAGACAUAGUCUAUGUCACUCGCACGGCAAUGAAAGCCCAGGCAUUAGCAGAUCACUUGGCUGAAAACCCAAUUGAUGAUGAAUACCAACCUUUGGAUACCUACUUCCCUGAUGAAGAGGUGAAUUCAGUUGAGGCAAUAUCCAAAGACACCAAUGCUUGGAAAAUAUUCUUUGAUGGAGUGGUAAACGUAAAAGGCGUUGGAAUUGGGGCAAUUUUGAUCUCACCCACUGGCCAACAUUAUCCAGCCACAGCCAGGCUUUGGUUUUUCUGCACAAACAACACUGCCAAGUAUAAAGCUUGCAUUAUGGGUAUGAACAUGGCAAUCGACCUAGAUGUCGAAGAACUAUUAAUCAUGAGAGACUCAGAUUUGAUUAUCCGACAAGCUCAAGGAGAAUGGAAAACCUGAGAUGUCAAGCUUAUUACUUAUAAGCAACAUGUGGAAGAACUUGGCAAGCGAUUCAAGUCGAUAGAGUUCAGGUACAUCCCUCGUUGCCACAAUGAACUAGCUGAUGCACUUGCCACUUUGGCCUCGAUGCUGCCAUACCCAGGCAAUGCCCACAUUGAUUCCUUGGAAAUCCAAAUCAGGGAAAGGCAUGGCUACUGUAAUACGGUUGAGGCAGAACCAAAUGUUCAGCCCUGGUAUCAUGACAUCAAAAGAUUUUUGAAAACCAAAGAAUACCCCGAGCAAGCCAGUGGAGACCAAAAGAGAACCAUUAGAUGGCACGCAAGUGGUUUCUUCUUGAGCGGUUAUGUCUUGUUCAAAAGGACUUCAGAUCUCAACUUGUUAAGAUGUGUUGAUGCCGUAAAAGGCUAGAAGAAUCAUGUAUGAAGUGCACGUAGGGGUGUGCGGACCCCACAUGAACAAGUAUGUUUUGACAAAGAAAAUCCUUCGAGCGGGCUAUUACUGGAUGACCAUGGAAAAAGACUGCUUCAGUUUUGUUCGGAAAUGUCAUCAGUGUUAGGUGCACGGAGAUUUGAUUCAUGCACCUCCCACAGAACUGCAUCCCAUGUCAGCGCCUUGGCCAUUUGUUGCUUGGUGCAUUGACGUUAUUGGGCCAAUCGAUCCAAAAGCCUCAAAUGGGCACAGAUUCAUAUUGGUUGCCAUCGACUAUUUCACGAAAUGGGUUGAAGCAAUCACUCUCAAAUCUGUCACUAAGAAAGUUGUGGUAGAUUUCGUGCACUCCAAUCUUAUCUGUCGUUUUGUCAUUCCUGCAACUAUUAUCAUAGAUAAUGUUGCAAACUUGAAUAGUCAUUUGAUGGGGGAGAUAUGCGAACAAUUCAAGAUAACGCAUCGGAAUUCUACUCCCUAUCACCCUAAAGCCAAUGGUGCCGUCGAAGCAGCAAACAAGAACAUCAAAAAAAAAUUGAGAAAGAUGAUCCAAAGUUCCAGGCAGUGGCAUGAAAAGUUGCCUUUUGCAUUGUUGGGAUAUAGCACUACGGUGCGCACAUCGAUCGGAGCAACCCUGUAUCUUUUGGUUUAUGGAACUGAAGUUGUAAUAUCCAUGGAGGUUGAAAUCCCUUCUCUCCGGAUCAUUGUGGAAGCUGAAAUUGAAGACAGUGAGUGGGUCAAAACCCGUUUGGAACAACUGACCCUGAUCGAUGAAAAGCGGAUGGCCGCAGUUUGCCACGGGUAGUUGUAUCAACAAAGAAUGGCCUGUGCUUACAACAAGAAAGUGAGGCCUAGAAAUUUUGAAGUGGGACAACUCAUUCUAAGGUGUAUUCUUCCCCAUCAUCAGGAAGCAAAAGGGAAAUUUGCUCCCAAUUAGAAAGGCCCAUACAUCAUCAGGAAGAUAUUGCCCAGAGGAGCAUUGUAUAUGGGAGACAUUGAAAGAAAUGAUCCCGAAGUAGCUAUAAAUGCAGAUGCAGUCAAAAGGUACUAUGUCUAAUCUUUCUGCGGUGACAACAUUGCCCUAUCGGGAUGACGAAGGCUUUCAUUCUCGCUAAACACUCCAAUCCUUUGCUAACCCAUUGAGUUGUUUACUUUUCUUUCAUUACCCUCUUUGGAACUCGAAGAUAUUUGAUUAAAAAAACAAAAUGUUUUACUGAACUACGUUCGACUUGAUUCCGAAAGGAUACGUAGGCAGCCUCUCUCUGGGGUUCAGUCACACCAAAAUAAAAAUUCAAAGUUCCCCAAAAAGUGAAAUUGGGGCAGAUUUUAUAAUGGUUCGGUGAUGAUCCCGCCUGAACGGUUCCAAAGUUGUAAUUUAAUCCAAAUUCUUUUACCCCAAACCUUGUUCAAGUCCUUCCGAUCAGUCGGCAAAGGGUUUUCAAAAUCGGAGAAUGCAGUUGUUUGGAUCCGAUGCAAUCAAAAUGAGAGAAAUAAAAUGAGAGAGUCUUAUUGGUGAAAACCCACCCGGGCACCAUGAGGCGAUGGUAAGCAGAGAAAUGAAAAACGAGAGAGUCUUGUUAGUGAAAACUCGUAAAGAGCACUAUAAGGCGACGGUGAGAAGAGAAAUGAAAGAGGUCGAUUGACGAAAACCCACAAAGGGCGCCGUUGAUAGAAAAUAAAGAACCUCUCACCACCACUGAUACUGAAAGGGUCCUUGCAAGGUUCCUCGGUUUAAAAAUACGAGUCGCAAUGGGUAUGCAAGAAGUCGGAUUAGUUGCGCGGAUCAGGUAUCUAGUCCUAGAAGCAUGUCAUGUCUAUUGAAGUCUGCAUGCACCCCAGAUAAGUCCGUUUCUUAUUCCCCGAAAGGGACACUUCUCCUCAAAUUCAUUUUCCUGUCCUUUGUUUACUUUUCCUUGAAUCCCUUUCGGUCUAACUUUGUUCCAAAGCUAAUGGAAAGAAAAGGUGGCAAUAUUGGUUUUACAGGGUUCUGCUUAAUAAAAACCAAGUCCAAAUAAAAGUACCCAGCCUCAGCGGGUACAUCAAGUCGAUUCUGACUGGCCAUGAUAACUGAUGCUUUAAAAUCGGAGUCUAUUGAAAAUGAAAAGAAAUCCCAAGUCAAAGCCCCUAGAGGCAGAAUAAAAUGAAAGGCCAAAGCCUAUAAGCCGUCAUGAGAAAUUUUGAAAAGCUGAGCUCCUAGGUUUUAGGAUAGAUAUCAAUCUUCAGAAAAGCCAACAAGAAGUAGAGGUUCCAACCAAAAGAGUUGAGCCAAGAUCAAGUGAUCAAAAACGAUAAAGGCCACAAAACCAACCACCGUUUCAGACUAACAAUUGUUCUUUGUUUGAAAAGUUGAAACAAGUGCAACCCAAAGCAACCGUGCGAGAAGCAGGUGCAACCGAAAGGGAAAAGAUGCGCAAGAGCUAGAAACAGCUUACCGCAACAACCACUUCAAAUAAGGGAAGUUCACUCCAAGUUUCUUUCCCGCAUUAUAUUAAAAAAUGAAAAUUAAAAAACAAAUGUUAGCUUGGGACUUCCAACCUCAAUCUUUUACGCUUUUACCAACAUUAGGGCUCCAAUCCCUGAGUUGAGAUUUUUUUAGACAUAGGGCCUCCAUUCCCUAGUCGCAUUUUACCAACAUUAGGGCUCCGAUCCCUGAGUUGAGAGUUUUUAGACAUAGAGCCUCCAUUCCCUAGUUGCCUUCUACCAACAUUAGGGCUCCAAUCCCUAAGUUGAGAUUUUUAGACAUAGGGUNNNNNNNNNNNNNNNNNNNNNNNNNGCCCNCAACCCUUCCUUUCUUUUGCAUCAAUCAUGGUGGACAAAGAAAUGAUCAGGCACGGCUACAAACCUAGGAAAAGGCUUGGUAAAUCGUUGUAAGGAAUAGCUGAACCUAUUACUCUGACCGCCAGUGAAAAGUUCUUUGGGGUAGGCUUCCGACCUACUCCAACUGAUGUAAGAUGGGCAGAUGAUAGAAAGAAUGAUGGUUGGGUCUUGCCUUAGCCGGUGCCGCAUCUGUACAGAACAUUUGUCAAGCCAAAAUACAAUGAGGAAGAGGAAGAUAAGGCCUUUACGACCAGAGAAAUCGAAGAAAUCUGUGAGGCCAUGAGGAAGAUACCGUAUGAAGCCCACAUGGUUCAAACAGGGGAAGGCUCAAGCACCGCUGAGGUGCUGUAUAUGGGACCUAAUGCCAAACUGCAAAAUUGGAAGGCUAUGAGGCAGGAGUCCCGGUAGACCUGUCCUGCCACUUUUUCUGCAUCACGAGUUAUUCCAGGGUGUAACUCGAAUGUUUUCUUUAGUUUCAUGUCUUUUAAUGUAAACCCUGUUAUCUUCAAAUUCAAUGAAAUGAAAUCAAUAUUUCAUCGUCCAUCUUUAUUUAUUCUUUCUAAUUUGGUUAUUUUUCUCUUUUAUUUCUUUUUUCAGUUCUAAUAAUGCGGCUUUAAAUAACAUGACAUGCUUGCGGACUUCAUGCCCAGAUCCAAACACGCUGUCUAACUGUGAGAUAAUGAACCAAGAAAUCAGGGAAACCAAGAUAAGCAUUCACACAGAUGGAAAAACCUGGGACGCAUUAAUCCAACUCCUGUUUGAGUUCAAAGAUGUGUUUGCUUGGUCAUAUGAUGACAUUCCAGGACUAAGUGUUGAUUUGGUGGUUCAUAAGUUGCCGACUAACCCCCUGUCCAGCAAAAGCAAAGAAAGUUUAAAACUGACAUCAGUGACCAGAUCAAAGAAGAAGUCACGAAAUAGCUGAAAGCGGGGGUGAUCCGAGUAGUUCGGUAUACCACAUGGCUAGCUAAUAUAGUUCCAGUGCCAAAGAAAGAUAGGAAGACCCGAGUGUGUGUGGAUUACAGGGAUCUAAACAAGGCAAGUCCCAAAGAUAACUUCCCUUUGCCGAACAUCCACAUCCUUGUUGAUAACUGCGCCAAACAUGAGAUACAGUCCUUCAUGGAUUGUUACAUAGGAUAUCACCAGGUGUUGAUGGAUUAAUAAGAUGCAGAAAAAAUAGCUUUUACCACACCUUGGGGUACAUACUGUUACAGAGUCAUGCCAUUUGGUCUGAAGAACACCGGGGCAACCUACAUGAGGGCCAUGACUACCAUUUUUCAUGAUAUGAUGAACCAAGAGAUAGAGGUGUAUGUGGACGAUGUAAUCAUCAAAUCCAAAACCCAGGAUGACCACGUUCGGGACUUGAGAAAAUUCUUUGAGCGGUUGCGCAAAUAUGAUUUGAAGCUGAACCCAGCCAAAUGUGCAUUUGGGGUACCAUCCGGCAAACUCUUAGGAUUCGUAGUCAGUCGGAGGGGCAUCGAGUUGGACCCAACAAAGAUAAAGUCUAUUCGAGAUUUGCCUCCUCCAAGAACCAAGAAAGAUGUUAUGAGUUUGUUGGGAAGAUUGAACUACAUCAGCCGAUUCAUUGCUCAGUUGACAUCCAUAUGUGAACCCAUAUUCAAAUUGCUGAAGAAAGAUGCGGCAAUCAAAUGGACAAACAAGUGCCAAGAAGAUUUUGAUAAAAUCAAAGAAUAUUUGUUGAAUCCACCAGUAUUGGUCCCACCUGAGCUAGGGAGGCCUCUGUUCUUGUAUAUGACAGUCUUGGAAAAUUCUUUCGGUUGUGUCCUCGGGCAACAUGAUGUGACCGGAAAGAAAGAGCAGGCCAUUCACUAUUUAAGCAAGAAGUUUACCAGUUAUGAAGCCAAGUACACUUUACUGGAAAGAACUUGUUGCGCUUUAAAUUGGGUCGCUCAGAAGCUGAGGCAUUAUUUGCAAGCCUACACCACUUACUUCAUAACCAGGUUGGAUCCUUUAAAAUACAUAUUUCAGAAACCAAUGCCCACUGAGAGAUUAGCAAAGUGGCAGAUCUUGCUCACGGAGUUUGACAUAGUCUACAUUACUCGCACGACAAUGAAAGCCCAGGCGUUAGCAGAUCAUUUGGCUGAGAACCCGGUUUAUGAUGAAUACCAACCUUUAAGCACUUACUUCCCAGAUGAAGAGAUAAAUUCAGUUGAGGCAAUAUCUGAAGACACCCGUGCUUGGAAAAUGUUCUUUGAUGGGGCAGUAAACGCAAAAGGCGUUGGAGUUGGGGCAAUCUUGAUCUCACCCACCGGCCAGCAUUAUCCAGCCACAUGCCGGCUUCGGUUUUUUUGCACAAACAACACCGCCGAGUAUGAAGCCUACAUUAUGGGUAUGAACAUGGCAAUUGACCAAGAUGUCGAAGAAUUGAUAAUCAUGGGAGACUCAGAUUUAAUUAUCCGACAAGCUUAAGGAGAAUAGGAAACCCGAGAUGUCAAGAUUAUUCCUUAUAGGCAACAUGUGGAAGAUAUUGGCAAGCGAUUUAAGUCAAUAGAGUUCAGGUACAUCCCUCGCUGUCACAAUGAAUUAGUUGAUGCACUUGCUACUUUGGCCUCGAUGCUGCCAUACCCAGGCAAUGCCUACAUUGAUCCUUUGGAAAUCCAAAUUCGGGAAAGGCAUGGUUAUUGCAAUAUGGUUGAGGCAAAACCAAAUAUUCAGCCAUGGUAUCAUGACAUCAAGAGAUUUCUGAAAACUAAAGAAUACCCUGAGCAAGCCAGCGGAGACCAAAAGAGAACCAUUAGAUGUCACGCAAGUGGUUUCUUCUUGAGGGGUGAUAUUUUGUACAAAAAUCCUCCGAGCGGGCUAUUAUUGGAUGACCAUGGAAAAGGACUGUUUUAGCUUUGUUCGGAAGUGUCAUCAGUGUCAGGUGCACGGGGAUCUGAUUCAUGCACUGCCCACAGAACUGCAUCCCAUGUUAGUGCCUUGGCCAUUCAUUGCCUGGGGCAUGGACGUCAUUGGGCCAAUCGAGACAAAAGCCUCAAAUGGGCAUAGAUUCAUAUUGGUCGCCAUCGACUAUUUCACGAAGUGGGUUAAAGUAAUUACUCUCAAAUCUGUCACCAAGAAAGCUGUGGUAGACUUCAUGCACUCUAACCUCAUCUACCAUUUUGGUAUUCCUGCAACUAUCAUUACAGAUAAUGCUGCAAAUUUGAAUAGUCAUUUGAUGAGGGAGAUAUGCGAACAGUUCAAGAUAACACAUCAGAACUCUAACCCUUAUUGUCCCAAAGCCAACGGUGCCGUUGAAGUAGCAAAUAAGAACAUCAAAAAGAUUUUGAGAAAGAUGAUUCAAAGUUCCAGGCAGUGGCAUGAAAAGUUGCCGUUUGCAUUAUUGGGGUAUCACACUAUUGUGCGCACAUCGGUCGAAACAACCCCGUACCUUUUGGUUUAUGGCACCGAAGCCGUAAUACCCGCGGAAGUUGAAAUACCUUCUCUUCGGAUCAUUGUGGAUGCUGAAAUUGAAGACAGUGAGUGGGUCAAAGCCUGUCUGGAACAGUUAACCCUAAUUGAUAAAAAGCUAAUGGCCGCAGUCUACCACGGGCAGUUGUACCAACAAAGAAUAGCCCGUGCCUACAACAAGAAAGUACGACCCAGAAAUUUUGAAGUAGGACAACUUGUUUUAAGGCAUAUUCUUCCUCAUCAUCAGGAAGCAAAAGGAAAAUUUGCUCCUAACUGGAAAGGCCCAUACAUUAUCCGAAAGAUAUUACCAAGAGGAGCGUUAUAUCUGGGAGAUAUUGAAGGAAACAACCCCGAGGCAGUUGUGAACGUAGACGCGGUCAAAAGGUACUAUGUCUAGUCCUUCUGCAGCAAUAGCACUAUCCGAUUGGUAUGACAAAAGCUUUCAUUCUCGCUACCCCAAACACUCCAAUCCUUUUGCUAACCCUUUGAGUCGGUUACUUUUCUUUCAUUACCCUCUUUGGAACUCGAAAAAAAAAUGUUUCCCUGAACUACGUUCGACUUGAUUCCGAAAGGAUACGUAGGCAGCCUCUCUCUAGGGUUCAGUCACACCAAAUAAAAAAUCCAAAGUCCCCCAAAAGCAAAACUGGGGCAGAAUUUAUAAUAGUUCGACGAUGAUCCCACCAGAACAGUUCCAAAGUUGUAAUUCCGUCCAGAUUCUUUUUACCCAAACCUUGUUCAAAGUCCUUCCGAUCAAUCGGCAAAAGGUUUUCAAAAACAAAGAACACAGUUGUUUGGAUUUGAUGCAAUCAAGAUGAGAGAAAUAAAAUGAGAGAGUCUUAUUGGUGAAAACCUAUGGGCACCGUAAGGAGAUGGUGAGCAGAGAAAUUGAAAAUACGAGAGUCUUGUUAGUGAAAACUCGUAAAAGAGCACUAUAAGGCGAUGGUAAGAAGAGAAAUGAGAGAGGCCGAUUGGCGAAAACCCGCAAAGGGCGCCGUUGAUCGAAAAGAAGAAACCCCUCACCACCAUUGGUAUUGAAAGAGUCUUGGCAAGGUUCCUCGAUUUUGAAACACGGGUUUCAAUGGGUUUAUGAGAAGUUGGGAUAGUUGUGCGGAUCGGGCAUCCAGUCCAAGAAGCUUGUCAUGUCUAUUGAAAUCUGCAUGCACCCCAGAUAAGUCCGUUCUUUCUCCCCGAAAGGGACACUUCUCCUUAAACUCAUUUUCUUGUCCUUUGUUUACUUUUCCUUGAAUCCCUUUCAGUCUAACUCUGUUUCCGAAACUAAUACAAAGAAAAGGUGGCAAGAUUGGCUUUACAGGGUUUUGCCUAUAGCUAAAGAAAAGUACCCAUCCUCAGCGGGUGCAUCAAGUCGAUACCGACUGGCCAUGAUGGCUGAUUCUCUGAAAUGAAAGUUAUUGAAAAGGAAAAGAAAGCCAAAGGCAAAAGCCUAAAGGUGGAAUAAAGUGAAAGGGUCGAAGCCCCACGCGGGCAAGCCGUCAUGAAAUCUUAAAAGUUGAGUCCCUCGGUUUGAAAGAUAGAUCAAUCUUCAGAAAACCACCAAGCAGUAGAGGUUCUCAACAAAGGUUCGGGCCGAGAUUGAGACAACCAAGACCACAAAACCAACCACCAUUUUAAACAAACAAUUGUUCUUUGUUUAAAAUUGAAACAGGUGAAGCCCAAGGCAACCGUGCAAAAGCAGGUGCAACCCAAAAGAAAAGCGGCGCAAAAGCUAGAAAUAGCUUCGCAGUAACAAUCAACCCAAAAAGGAAGUUUUCCUCCAAAAUUCUUUCCUGCAUCUUAUUGAAAUAAAAUGAAAUGAAAAAGGAAAAAAAAAAUAGAAGAAAAAGAAGAAAAUCCAAACAAAUUGAUAGUUCAAAAUUCCCAAUCUCAAUCUUUUACGCCUUUGCCAACAUUAGGGCUCCAAUCCCUGAGUUGAGAUUUUAGACAUAGGGCCUCCAUUCCCUAGUUGCCUUUUCUUUGCCAACAUUAGGGCUCCAAUCCCUGAGUUGAGAUUUUUAGACAUAGGGCCUCCGUUCCCUAGUCGCCUUUUCUUUGCCAACAUUAGGGCUCCAAUCCCUGAGUUGAGAUUUUUAGACAUAGGGCCUCCAUUCCCUAGUCGCCUUUUGCUAAUAUUAGGGCUCCAAUCCGUAAGUUGAGAUUUUUAGACAUAGGAUCCCCAUUCCCUAGUCGCCUUUUGACAACAUUAGGGCUCCAAUCCCUGAGUUGAGAUUUUUAGACAUAGGGCCUCCAUUCCCUAGUCGUCUUUCUUCCAACAUUCGGGCUCCAACCCUGAGUUGAGAAUUUUAGACAUAGGGCCUCCAUUCCCUAGUCGCCUUUUUGCCAACAUAGGGCUCCAAUACCUAAGUUCAGAUUAUAGACAUAGGGCCUCCAUUCCCUAGUCGCCUUUUGUCAACAUUAGGGCUCCAAUCCCUAAGUCGAGAUUUUUAGACAUAGGAUCCACAUUCCCUAGUCGCCUUUUGCUAAUAUUAGGGCUCCAAUCCUUGAGUUGAGAAUUUUUUUGAUAUAGGGCUUUAUUCCCUAAUCUCUUCCUCCUGAAGGCACACAAUCCUUACGUUAUCGCUUUCCAAAAAAAAGUUAGUUACAAAUAACUCACGAAAUUUUCCUAGUGUAAACUGGGGCAGAAUAUUUCGUUCGUCUGUUUGUUUUGGUGUUUGAGCAGGUUUUACCUUGAGGAACGGGGUUCGAGAUGACCAACAGAAUGAGUCUCAAUCCAGAACAAAGAAAAGAAGAAAAAGAACAAAAAAAUAAAGAAGUAAACUCAAAGGUUGAAACGGAGAGGGAUGCGAACUGCUCAAGAUAUGAUUGAAGUCACAAGCCUCGCAUGUCCCGCCUUGAUCCAGAGCUGAAGAAAGAACUAGUGCCUACAGCUGACAAGCAUCAAGAUUCAAAUCGGAGUCCACAGCGAAAACCAUCCAAGACUCAAGAUCAAGCUUCGAAAGAUUUAUAGAUAGGAAUUUUGUAGCUCGUAGUUGAUAGGCUUAGCUAGUUUAGCUUUUUACUUUCCAUUUUGGUGUAAUAAGGAGUUCAGCAAGCAGUAGCAGCAACAACAACAACAGUGAGAUCACAGCUUCCCGGUAGUCCCAGCUACCAAAACUUUCAGAACUAUACUGACCUGAUUCCUCUAUAGCCAAGGAUAUGUAGGCAACCUUUGAAGUAAGGUUCGGUCAGAUUCUUUUCAAAAAAUGCUUCUCAUGGAGUUUCAAACGGGCAAAAAUCCCUCAUAAUUGCUCAUUUUAUCUUUUCCCAAAAACCCUUCGUUCUCCGAACAAAGAGGGGCAGCUGUGAGCACGUGAUUUUUGCCCCACAUGGGUUACUCUUACAGAAUUCCAAUAAUCAGGUUUCUUCUUUUAAUUAUUUGUUAUUUUAGGGAUUUUUGUAGGAUUUUUAUUCAAUUAUUUGCAUUUUUGUGCAUGUUUAAGUUUAUUUAAAUUAUGAAAAUACCAAAAAUAUCAUGCAUUGCAUUUAGGAUUUAUUUUUAUAGGAUUAAUUAAUUAAUUAUUUAUUUUAUUAAAAAUAAAAACCACAAAAAUGGCUGAUUUCUACAUUUUUCCUUUUUAUUGAUUUUUCUCUUUUAAUUUAGGAUUAAAGUAGCUUUUACAAUUUUGUAAUUAAUUAAUUUGUUUAAUUUUUUUUCAUAUUCUAGGUAAUUUAGAAUUUUUAAUUGUUAGGAUUUUUAAUUAAAAAAAUUAGAAAAAAAAGGGGAAAAGAGAGAAAAGAAUUUUGAAAGAAAUUGGAGAAAUUAGAUUUUUGGGCCAAAUUGAUUGAAAUUGCCCAAGCCCAAUUGAAUUCCCCAAAAUACCCGGCCAAACCCAUCAAAAUACUCGGCCCAAACUGACUAACCCGGUCCAAAUCCCUACCAUAACCAAACGACCCCGUUUUGGUAUCAUCUCAUCACAGUCGUUAGAUUCUCAUCAUCCAACGGCUCGGAACUACUUUGUACUUAGCUAUAUUAGUGUCCGAAAAGACUGAUCACCCCCCCCCAUCAGACCCCUCUCACUUCGUCUCCCCCUCUCUCCACGACCAAACCCUAGCCGCCAUGAAACCCUUUUCAUCUUCGCCACAAACCACCUAUCGGAAAUCGCCUCACGGCGGUUCCGGUGGUCCAAACACCCUGAAAAUAACACCAUAGACUCCCCUCCAUCUCCUCCUCCCAAAUCUCCAAUCCUUUUUCCUCGAAUCCCUGCCGAGUUUCUCGAAUCUUGAAUCAAAGAAAGCCGACCGAAACCCUAACUGCUCCAAAUCUCCCCAAAUUCACACCCUGAGAUGCUUAUCCCUAUCUGAAUCCCAAACCACCAUUAGCCCCUUUCGAAUCAGCCCCGAGUCCCUCGAAUUUCAAAUCUCAAGACCCCGGAAGAACCUUAAGUUUCUUUCUUCACUUUUUUUGGGGGGGUUAUAUUUGGUCGGAUGGACUUAAAACCUUCAUUAAUCGACUGUUUUGGUUAAAAACAGUCGAUUAAUGUUGGUCAAAGUCCAUAUUACACUUCAAAAUAGUUGGACAAACUCGUGUUUUGAUUCAGCUUUGAUUUCAAUCAGGUAAAAUCCUUUUCUGUUCUUUUGAUUGCUUAAUUUUGGUUUUUGUUUCUUCUAUGCAUGUUUUUAUUUUUCAUUUAUGUUUUAGCAGCAUGUUAGGUUUCUUCUCUUUUCCCUCUGAUUUGUUAAUUAUUCUGUCCAUCCGUUUGGUUAAAGCAUGUUUAGGCUCGUUUAGGAUUCCUAUUGAAUUUUUGCCUUAUUUUUAUUGCAUUGAUCCCUCUUUGCAUGUCUGAAUAUUUUUUUCCUUUGCUUUGGCAGCAUGUUUUAGGAACUUUUAGUCUUGGUUUUUCCUUUCUUCCACCUAGUUUGUUAAUUACUUCUUAAUCAAAUCAUGUUUAAGUCAGCAAAAAUGCAUAAUUUCUGGUUAGGUUAGUUGUCGUUACAUUAUCAUGUCUGCUUCCUCAAUUCAUACCACUACUGCUAUCAGUGUUGGUCCAAGUUUAGCUCUCAUUUAGGUUUAAUUAAAUUAACUUUUUCAUUUUAAUGAUUAAUUAGUUUUGGAUUAUAUGGUCAUGCUCGAUAGUUUUUGUCAUUUCAAUUCAAAUCCUUGGGUCAUUUCUUUGUGUUUCUGCUUCUAUUGGUUUGGAUCUGGAAAUCAAUAGAACCUUAGGGGCCUUAGUUGAACUAGAAAGUCUAGGUAACACCUGAAAUAAUUGAUAACCUAAGGGGUAAAAUUGGACUUUCACUUAGGCUGAAAUCAGAAAGUUCUAGAACUUAGAACAGUUGUCCCUAUCCUUAGCAAAAAUGUUGAUAUUGGAUAAGAAAAAGGACAUACAGUUGUCAAAAGAUGUUGUACUAUUCUGAAAUUUCAAAAAUUAGAUCAGAAUAUUCCUUUUGAGAUGCUUUUUUUUACACUUUAUAAAAGGGAAAUAUCCCCUCACUCACAGACAGAUUUUUUGGAUCAUCAAAAAUUACGGCAAAAAACACUUCCUGCUCUAAAAGUUCAGAUUCCAGAAAAUUCUGAAAAACUCAAAAAAUCUUCUCCCAUUUUUCUGAUUCUGUGCAAGUCAAUAUAUGGUUUGAAUAGAAAAUUUUCCCUAGUUCCCUAGCUAGAUUUUCUGGUUUGAAGCUGGUUUUGGUCUUAUUUUGAGUCCCUCGGCUAUUUUGGUUUUGUUGUAGCUGUUGUGCUGCUGAUAUCCUUGAGAUUCUCCAGAAUCCGUUCUUCUACCUUUCUUUGUUGAGUCCUUACUAUUCCAAGUACUACUUAGAUCCCAAUGUAGUUUCCUUGUACAUGAAUUUAUGAAAAAAUGGCAAACUUUUGCAAAUGAAUGUGCAAUGAAUGGUUCUUUGAAUAUUGUUUGAUUAGUCUUUGCUUUUAGAUAGUGUAACGGCCAGUAUUAACAUGAGCAAUGUUUUUAUUCAAUAACUUGCUUUAUAUUGUAUUGAAAUAGUGUGAAAAAAUGAUAUUAAGGCUGAAUAUCAGUAGCUUUGAUUCAUACUAGAACAUUUAGUCAAGAAUGUUGACCAUGUUUCUGUAGGUAACAUUUCUUUUUUUCUCCAUCUGAUCUCCUUACUUGAAACCCUUUUUUUUUUCUUUUCACUUGGUAAUGAGCUAUAACCUGUUGGUUCACCCACCACUUGGCUGGAUCAAUUGGAUUUCAAAGCUUUAAGGUGGGAUCUACAUGUUAAGGAAAGAAGAUGAGGCUGCUAUGGACAAGUCAUGUUCAAAAGGAGCAAAGGUCUUUCUGUUAAUAUACAAAUUUGUAAUAGCUUAGUAUUAGAUUAGUUUUACCCUUUUACAUACUUGUUUCAGCCAAUGGCAUGAAUUUUAACAGUAAAGAAAGGCUUUCUUUUUUUAUGUAAAGUUUGUCAUUCAAUGCUAAGGAUUAUGUAACAUUGGGACUGUCUAGACAUUGAAUCGAAACUUAUGUUUCACAGGCUAGGCUGCAAUUAAUGAGCUUAAGUGUGUGUUUUUAGUAAGUUUAAUGUACAGUUCUGAAAAUGGUUGUCCUUGAAAUUAAUUUGCUUUCUGUUGUAAUUUUGGGGAUCCGAAUGUUUGGUUUAGGCUUGGAUAAGUUCAAGCUGAAGCAGCCUUUUGAAAGUCACAUUUGGGGCUACCCUUGGUCUGAAGCUCACUCUUUGCCUUUAGGGCCAAUUCAGGCCCAAGUGGUUCUGUGAGCUUAAGUCCCAUUUCCUCAAGCUUUAAUGAAUGUUCCUUUGUUUAGGGUUGGGCUAGGUUUGGUUUUAGCAAGCUAUGUCUUUUAAUUUCUUAUUGUAUGUUCUCAUGAAUAAGCAGUUAUACCUUUUGAGUCUAGCCAUGAAUAGCUUAUGAAUGCAAACAACAUCAUUAUGAUUUGUCUUUAAUUGUAUGGUUAUAAAUUUGAAUCUUUUAAUCUGGGCAAAGAAGCUCAUUGUAGUUCUUGGUUCAUGCAUACCAAGGUAUAAAAAAUGCAACGAAGUAGACUGGCCAGCCUGUGUCAAUGCACAAUUGGGCUCGUUUAAAAUCCAAGCCCAACGUGAGGUUUUCUUCCAUCAGUGCCUAUUUUGAGUCCUAGGAUUUCUGAUUUCUGGGUCAUUUCGCGUGCCCCCAAAUUAGUUUAAGAUUGUCGAAUUCCCUAGCUGAAUGACCAAUGGGCCAUCCUUGGCUCAAUCCCUUCAAGAGAAUUAAUUUUGAGCCCAACCUUUUUCCUUUUUUUAGGUUUCCUUAACUUGGAUUCCAAUUGAUCUCCUUAGUUUCAACUUAGUAAAAUGCAAACCCCUUGAAGUAAAAAUAGUUUGGGGUGUGCCAUAUACAGUUAUAAUCCUUUAAUUAUGGCCCUCAUGUAAAUAAAUUAAUUUAGAAAUGCCUUGAAUAAUCGUAGUUUGCUUUAUGCUCGAUUUAGGCUAGUAUUGUGAGUAUGUAUAUGUUCGCGUAACAUAAUUGUAAUUUUAAUUCUAAAAUAAAUCGAGGUAUGCGUUCGCGCAACAUCGACGAAACUUUCUUAAUAAAUCAAGAAAAGCAUUAUUAAUCAUGGACACGUUCGCGUGACAUGAUUUUGACGCGCUAAAAGAAAAGAGUAUACGUACGCGUAACUCAAUUCUUUAAUUACGAAUAAUUCAAGUGAUUUAAAAGUGGUAAAGAGAUAAAUGUACAUAGGUCCUAAAAUGAGUAGUUAAAUAAUUUAAGACAAGUAUAAAUUUCUAAGCGACCGUGCUAGAACCACGGAACCCGGGAAUGCCUAACACCUUCUCCCGGGUUAAAAAAAUUCCUUUCUUAGAAUUUCUAAUUUGCCGACUUCGAAAAGGAAAGUCGAAAUUUCCUCGAUUUGGGAUUUAAAAUAAACCGGUGACUUGAGACACCAAAUAAAAUAUUCCAAGUGGCGACUCUGAAAUAAAUUAAAUAAUACCAUAUCGAAUAAUGUCACUUUCGGGUGUGUAAAAAGGAGGUGUGACACCAAUGCCCCAAUAGUGUUCAUGCAUUUGAUGAACAACGUGUUCCGACCUUAUCUUGAUUCGUUUGUCAUAGUCUUCAUUGAUGAUAUUCUGGUGUAUUCGCAUAGUCAGGAGGAGCACGCGGAGCAUUUGAGAGUUGUGUUGUAGAGAUUGAGGGAGGAGAAGCUUUAUGAAAAAUUAUCCAAGUGUGAGUUUUGGCUCCGUUCAGUGGCUUUCUUGGGACACGUGGUGUCUAGCGAUGGUAUUAAGGUUGAUCCGAAGAAGAUAGAGGCGGUUCAGAGUUGGCCUAGACCGUCCUCAGCCACAGAGAUUCGCAGCUUUCUUGUUUGGGAGGCUAUUAUCGCCGGUUUGUUCAGGGAUUCUCAUCUAUCGCAUCACCCUUGACCAAGUUGACUCAGAAGGGUGCUUCAUUCGUAUGGUUGGACGAGUGUGGGGAGAGCUUUCAGAAGCUCAAGACAGCUUUGACCACAACUCCAAUGUUAGUUUUGCCAUCAGCUUCAGGUUCAUAUACCGUGUAUUGUGAUGCUUUAAGAGUUGUUAUUGGUUGUGUAUUGAUGCAGGAGGGUAGAGUUAUUGCUUAUGCUUCUCGUUAGUUAAAUACCCAUGAGAAGAAUUACCCUAUUCAUGAUUUGCAGUUGGUUGACAUAGUUCACGCGUUGAAGAUUUGGAGGCAUUACCUGUAUGGCGUAUCUUGUGAGGUGUUCACUGAUCAUCGCAGUCUUCAGCAUUUGUUCAAGCAAAAAGAUCUUAAUUUGAGGCAGCGGAGAUGGUUGGAGUUGCUUAAGGAUUAUGAUAUCACUAUAUUAUACCAUCCGGGAAAGGCCAAUGUAGUGGCCGAUGCCUUGAGCCGAAAGGCGGUGAGUAUGGGGAGUUUGGCAUAUGUUCCAGUUGAGGAGAGACCUCUUGCAGUUGAUGUUCAUGCCUUGGCCAAUCGGUUCGUAAGGUUAGAUAUUUCGGACCCUAGUCGGGUAUUGGCUUGUGUGGUUUCUCGGUCUUUCUUAUAUGAUCGCAUCAGAGAGUGCCAGUGUGAUGAUCCGCAUUUGCUUGUCCUUAAGGACAGAGUUCAGCAUGAUGAUGCUAGAGAUAUGACCAUUGGAGAUGAUGGGGUGUUGAGGAUGCAGGGCCGGAUUUGUGUGCCCAAUGUGGAUGGGCUUCGGGAGUUGAUUUUGGAGGAGGCCCAUAGCUCGCGGUAUUCUAUUUAUCCGAGUGCCGCGAAGAUGUAUCAGGAUUUGGGGUAGCACUAUUGGUGGAGAAGAAUGAAGAAAGACAUUGUGGGAUUUAUAGCUCGGUGUCUCAAUUAUCAACAGGUGAAAUAUGAGCAUCAGAGAUCGGGUGGCUUGCUUCAACAUAUGGUUAUUCCCGAGUGGAAGUGGGAGAGGAUCACUAUGGACUUUGUUGUUGGACUUCCACGGACUUUGAGAAAGUUCGAUGCUAUUUGGGUGAUAGUGGAUCGGCUGACCAAGUCCGCGCACUUUAUUCCUGUAUGUACUACCUAUUCUUCAGAGUGGUUGGUAGAGAUCUAUAUUCGGGAGAUUGUUCGUUUGCAUGGUGUCCCAGUUUCCAUCAUUUCAGAUAAGGGCACUCAGUUUACUUCGCAAUUUUGGAGAUCUGUGCAGCGAGAGUUGGGUACUCAGGUUGAGUUGAGCAUAGUUUUUCAUCCUCAGACGGGCAGGCAGUCUAAGCAUGUUAUUCAGAUAUUGGAGGACAUAUUGCAUGCUUGUUGUCACACCUCCUUUUUUACUUACACCCCAUAAAGGGCGUAAAUAUAAGGUAGUUUUUCCAAUUAAAGGACAAUCGAAAUGGGAUUGUUUAUUUAUUAAAAAUCAAAGUCGCCAUUUGGGAUAAUUUAUGAUGUCCCAAGUCACCAGUUUAAAUCCCGAAUCGAGGAAAACUGACUCUAUUUACGGUUUGCGAACAUGAAAAUCCGAGUAAGAAAUUCUGUUAACCCGGGAGAAGGUGUUAGGCACUCGCGAGUUCCGUAGUUCUAGCACGGUCGCUUUGAUCAUACUUGGCUUAUUAAAUUGUUUAAUUACUCAUUUUAGAUCCUAUGUGCAUUUACCCUAACCGCUUUUAAAAUUAAGAAAAUUAUCUUGAAACGAGUCACGCGUACGUGUACCCAUAUGUUUGGCGCGUCAAAAAUCAUGUCACGCAAAGGUGUCCACAAUUAAGAACGCUUUGUUAUUAUUAAGAAGAGUUUGGCCGAAGUUGCGCGAACGCAUACUCCGAUUUAUUUUCUGGGGAAUCAUAACUAUAUCACGCGAACAUGUCCACAACCACGAUAAUAGAUUUAGUCGCCCAUAGAGCAUUUUCUAUGAUGUUCAUAAUUUAUUCAACUUUUAAACCCAAACCAACUAUUAUCUUGUUCAAGUCAUUGGAGUCUUUAAUCCAACAAACUAAUUCAAAGAACCAUUCAAGCGACAUUACGAAACAAACAACUUCAAACAAAUAAACAGUCAAGUCUCAUUAGAGAAUUCAACAAAUGAACUAAUUUUCGAAAGCAAGUAUAGACUAAUGAACCAUGUAUUUCACUCAAAUCUUCACUCAAAGGUUCAGGGGCAGAUUCAACAAAAUUCCAACAUAUAUUAGUUUGACUAACGAAUCACAGUCAUCCAAAUACCACAAAGAUCAAGUAAAGUAAGCUUUAAACUAAACUUUAUAUUAAUUGGAACAAAUUCUGAAUAAACUAAUCACUAUUUAUACCUUUUUUCUCAAUAUGAUAAUAUAUUUUACUUAUUCAUUUUUAACUGUUCAACGUCCAAAGUUAACGUACCACUUAUUUGCCACAGUGCCAUAUAUACUAGGAAAAUUGACUCCUAAAAUUCUUUGAUAUCAUGUGGAAACUUCUUUUCAUUUGAGGCCACCAUAAGUCACCAAUUGGAAUUUUUGCACAAUAAUUCAAGUAUUAUUAUAACGUUUUGAAGACGUACCAAACAGAAACAAUGUUUAUUGUUUUGUCACUGCCGCUGACGGUAGGGCACUGCACCAUUUCCAUUUUUGUCACCUUUCUCCUACAACUAAUGGACUUCCAAGCAGAGACCAAAUAGAAUUGUCGAAUUCUAAUACAGAAUCGUGAAGCUCCACGGAAACCUCAGGCUACGACCUCUGAUGAACUCGGAACUCGCCGGAAAACUUGAAUCACACAAAAACUCGCCGCGACCCGGAUCUCUUGCCUUUCAUUUCAUUUCGUUUCUAGCUUUUACGUUGUGUAUUCUAUUUCUUUUUCCAAACUUCCAGAAAUCUGUCCAUUUAUGUCUGUGUGUGCGUGUGUUUGGGCGUUGGAAGGACAGCAAAGUGAGGGAGAGAGAAAUGGGAACGAGGUGAGAACAAUAGUCGCCGGUGGAGCCGGCUAACGUUGGUUGUUGCUGGUUUUGUUUUUUGAGAGGGAGGUCUUGUAUGUAACGGCUGAUAGUUGCUGCUCUUGUUUCUGGUCAAGAUUUUUUAGAGCUUCAUGAAGAAGAAGCUCAUGGGGGUCUGUCCCUUAUGCGGCUGUAAGUUUUGUAGGGUUUUUUAUUUUUUGUUCAAGAAGAGGGCCUUCAUGUACCGGGGGGUCGUUUUUGUUCAGCAGCUCAUUCCCAAACUUAAGCAUUGGGUCCCCUUUGAAGAAGAUGACUGAAGCUCUUCUGUAUUCUCUAAAAUCAGAAAACGGAUUUAUCUCU